GACGAGCGAACGGACGAGAAGCUUGCUUCUCUGAAUGUUAGCGGCGGACGGGUGAGUAACACGUGGAUAACCUACCUAUAAGACUGGGAUAACUUCGGGAAACCGGAGCUAAUACCGGAUAAUAUUUUGAACCGCAUGGUUCAAAAGUGAAAGACGGUCUUGCUGUCACUUAUAGAUGGAUCCGCGCUGCAUUAGCUAGUUGGUAAGGUAACGGCUUACCAAGGCAACGAUGCAUAGCCGACCUGAGAGGGUGAUCGGCCACACUGGAACUGAGACACGGUCCAGACUCCUACGGGAGGCAGCAGUAGGGAAUCUUCCGCAAUGGGCGAAAGCCUGACGGAGCGACGCCGCGUGAGUGAUGAAGGUCUUCGGAUCGUAAAACUCUGUUAUUAGGGAAGAACAUAUGUGUAAGUAACUGUGCACAUCUUGACGGUACCUAAUCAGAAAGCCACGGCUAACUACGUGCCAGCAGCCGCGGUAAUACGUAGGUGGCAAGCGUUAUCCGGAAUUAUUGGGCGUAAAGCGCGCGUAGGCGGUUUUUUAAGUCUGAUGUGAAAGCCCACGGCUCAACCGUGGAGGGUCAUUGGAAACUGGAAAACUUGAGUGCAGAAGAGGAAAGUGGAAUUCCAUGUGUAGCGGUGAAAUGCGCAGAGAUAUGGAGGAACACCAGUGGCGAAGGCGACUUUCUGGUCUGUAACUGACGCUGAUGUGCGAAA
This 716-nucleotide ribosomal RNA is filed under the name uncultured Staphylococcus sp. Its description in RNAcentral is "bacterial SSU rRNA". It matches the Rfam family "Bacterial small subunit ribosomal RNA", at positions 61 to 758 of the family's 1533-position model. The record is from RNAcentral. Lineage: Bacteria; Bacillati; Bacillota; Bacilli; Caryophanales; Staphylococcaceae.